This 495-nucleotide ribosomal RNA is filed under the name uncultured bacterium. RNAcentral describes it as "partial 16S ribosomal RNA". It matches the Rfam family "Bacterial small subunit ribosomal RNA", at positions 29 to 506 of the family's 1533-position model. The record is from RNAcentral.
AUGAACGCUGGCGGCGUGCCUAAUACAUGCCAGUCGAGCGAACAGACGAGGAGCUUGCUCCUCUGACGUUAGCGGCGGACGGGUGAGUAACCCGUGGAUAACCUACCUAUAAGACUGGGAUAACUUCGGGAAACCGGAGCUAGUACCGGAUAAUAUAUUUAACCGCAUGGUUCAAUAGUGAAAGACGGUUUUGCUGUCACUUAUAGAUGGAUCCGCGCCGCAUUAGCUAGUUGGUAAGGUAACGGCUUACCAAGGCAACGAUGCGUAGCCGACCUGAGAGGGUGAUCGGCCACACUGGAACUGAGACACGGUCCAGACGCCUACGGGAGGCAGCAGUAGGGAAUCUUCCGCAAUGGGCGAAAGCCUGACGGAGCAACGCCGCGUGAGUGAUGAAGGUCUUCGGAUCGUAAAACGCUGUUAUUAGGGAAGAACAAAUGUGUAAGUAACUAUGCACGUCUUGACGGUACCUAAGCAGAAAGCCACGGCUAACUACGU